Molecule: non-coding RNA, 490 nt
Organism: Camelina sativa (false flax)
Lineage: Eukaryota; Viridiplantae; Streptophyta; Magnoliopsida; Brassicales; Brassicaceae
Source: RefSeq, a predicted model, not a curated record
UCAAAUCGAAAACAAAAAGAAAGUGAACAAAAGAAAUGACAAAAAUGAUGUCUGAAAACAAUAACAUCAUGUUUCAGGUUGUAACUGAGCAGGAAAGAUAGCACCAAAGCCAAACACAAGAAACCACUAAUUUUAAGCAGCCAUUACACACUACAGCAGCAUUAAGCAGCCCUCACUCCAAUAUUUUUUAACCACAACAAGUUAAGAUUAAAGCAGCCAUUAAUCUAAAUUAUAUUUAACAGAAGCAAAAUUAAGCAAACCAUUAAAUCCUUUUUUUUAUAAGCUCUCCACCAAAUUCCCACCAUUGAUUUGAAUGAACAGCAACUCAAAAUAAAAUUAAAAAGGACAAAUUUUUUUGUUCUCUCAUGAACUCAUGGGUCACCGACUAAAAACAGAGAACAAAGUCACGAGAUCAAACAAAGACUAAAAAGAUCUGUUAAAAUGAGAGAUCAAACAAGUGCGAAUCUGAAGCAAGAUUUGAACAUUCUGG